ACAUAUUCCUACCUGGAAGCAUAAAAAUAUCAAGAAUGUCCCAGAAAAUACAGUCCAACAAAUAUUGAUAUUACACUCAUCAAAGUAUCAGCAGAUCCCUGAAAAGAUGUGCACAGUAGUCCUAGAUCUGACUAUGAAAUUUAUUUAUGAUGAGAUCUUGUCUUAAAUUAAGGCUUUGGCAAAACUUUUACUUGAUUCCUGAGGGUCAGAACAAUAUUUGUCAUAUGAAAUUUGAGACAGGGUCAUCCUAGGAAUCACAUGAAAGAAAACAUGUCAUAUUAUACUCUGAGUGUCAUAAUAGAGGUGUUCUCAGAGAGGAACUUUAUUUGUGCAUAAUAAUAGUCGCUGACCAGUCAGCUGCUGUGGGCCCUUUGUGGCAAGGCACAUUCACCAGAGAAAUCCAGCUCCUAGGGAAACUGCUCAGUUGUCCACUACGCAUAGGAAAAAGAGGAAGCAAAUCAUAUGUCAACAGACCAAAGAGCACAGUAGAACGCAUCACUGGAGUUAUGAAGAUAUGAAGUCUCCUGAUUGAAUUGUUUUUGAAACCUGGACCCUGGAUUUGUGUGACUUGUGAUCAUCUCUGAAUAAACAGAAAAGAGAAAUAGCCUAUACAGGGAAGAUUUUUCUGUAUAAAGCUAAUCACUAGUAGCAGGAAAACAGUUCUCAGACUUAGGCAAAUACUGUUCUGUAUGCCAAGCCCAUUUUAAUGACAUUCUUGAGGUAAUAAAUGUAUUAUCACACAAACAGCAUGUAUUUCCCUUCAUGUAACCUAGUUAUAGUCAAGAAGUUUAACUUACAUGCUCUCUUUUACAUUUUUGCAUUAAAAAGAGCAUUUUCACAAUCAGCCAUAAAAUUUGAUUCAUUAGACAUCGAGAGGCAUUAGCAAAGGCUAACAGUACACAACAUCACACCAUACAUGAAAAUUAGAUCAAAUGUUCUUAAUCCAAAUGAGUUACAAAAUUACAGAUGUAUUUUAGUUUAAAAGGGCUGCAUGUAAGCAUUUGAACGUGGCCAAAUCAGCAAUCCAGGACUAUAUCAACAUGUUGUAAGGUGUUAAAUCAGGAAUGUUUGGUUUUGAUCACUAAAAAUAACUGCCUUCUAGAAGACUGACAGUCUGGUUUUUUAAUUUGCUAUUUUUUUUGAAUCUGUCACUUCUAAUAGAGUUGUACUUAAUUACAAUAUACCCCUUGUAUUUUGAUGGAGACUGGAGACUCACUAAUUAUAAUUAGCUUGACCAGCUUUUCUCCUGAAGCCUGAAAACGGUAAACAAGCAUUUAGAAUACCUUACAUAUGCUGUAGCUUAUUAAAUAACAAAGAUUCAUCAUCUUCUUCUGCUAUUACUGAAAACCUCCAGUUAAAAAAGAGAUUUAACCCAUUUGCUUUGCCCUUUAGUCUUC
Non-coding RNA from Cyanistes caeruleus (blue tit), 1397 nucleotides. The record is from RefSeq and is a predicted model, not a curated record. Lineage: Eukaryota; Metazoa; Chordata; Aves; Passeriformes; Paridae.